GACGAACGCUGGCGGCGUGCUUAACACAUGCAAGUCGAACGGAAAGGCCCUGCUUUUGUGGGGUGCUCGAGUGGCGAACGGGUGAGUAACACGUGAGUAACCUGCCCUUGACUUUGGGAUAACUUCAAGAAACUGGGGCUAAUACCGGAUAGGAGCUCCUGCUGCAUGGUGGGGGUUGGAAAGUUUCGGCGGUUGGGGAUGGACUCGCGGCUUAUCAGCUUGUUGGUGGGGUAGUGGCUUACCAAGGCUUUGACGGGUAGCCAGCCUGAGGGGGUGACCGGCCACAUUGGGACUGAGAUACGGCCCAGACUCCUACGGGAGGCAGCAGUGGGGAAUAUUGCACAAUGGGCGGAAGCCUGAUGCAGCAACGCCGCGUGCGGGAUGACGGCCUUCGGGUUGUAAACCGCUUUCGCCUGUGACGAAGCGUGAGUGACGGUAAUGGGUAAAGAAGCACCGGCUAACUACGUG
RNAcentral lists this ribosomal RNA (468 nucleotides) under uncultured bacterium. RNAcentral describes it as "partial 16S ribosomal RNA". It matches the Rfam family "Bacterial small subunit ribosomal RNA", at positions 28 to 507 of the family's 1533-position model. The record is from RNAcentral.